This 497-nucleotide ribosomal RNA is filed under the name uncultured bacterium. RNAcentral describes it as "partial 16S ribosomal RNA". It matches the Rfam family "Bacterial small subunit ribosomal RNA", at positions 28 to 507 of the family's 1533-position model. The record is from RNAcentral.
GAUGAACGCUGGCGGCGUGCCUAAUACAUGCAAGUCGAGCGAACGGACGAGAAGCUUGCUUCUCUGAUGUUAGCGGCGGACGGGUGAGUAACACGUGGAUAACCUACCUAUAAGACUGGGAUAACUUCGGGAAACCGGAGCUAAUACCGGAUAAUAUUUUGAACCGCAUGGUUCAAAAGUGAAAGACGGUCUUGCUGUCACUUAUAGAUGGAUCCGCGCUGCAUUAGCUAGUUGGUAAGGUAACGGCUUACCAAGGCAACGAUGCAUAGCCGACCUGAGAGGGUGAUCGGCCACACUGGAACUGAGACACGGACCAGACUCCUACGGGAGGAAGCAGUAGGGAAUCUUCCGCAAUGGGCGAAAGCAUGACGGAGCAACGCCGCGUGAGUGAUGAAGGUCUUCGGAUCGUAAAACUCUGUUAUUAGGGAAGAACAUAUGUGUAAGUAACUGUGCACAUCUUGACGGUACCUAAUCAGAAAGCCACGGCUAACUACGUG